RNAcentral lists this ribosomal RNA (484 nucleotides) under uncultured bacterium. RNAcentral describes it as "partial 16S ribosomal RNA". It matches the Rfam family "Bacterial small subunit ribosomal RNA", at positions 30 to 507 of the family's 1533-position model. The record is from RNAcentral.
AUUGAACGCUGGCGGCAUGCCUUACACAUGCAAGUCGAACGGCAGCGCGGACUUCGGUCUGGCGUCGAGUUGCGAACGGGUGAGUAAUACAUCGGAACGUACCCUGUUGUGGGGGAUAACUAGUCGAAAGAUUAGCUAAUACCGCAUACGACCUGAGGGUGAAAGUGGAGGACCGCAAGUCCUCACGCAGCCGGAGCGGCCGAUGGCUGAUUAGCUAGUUGGUGGGGUAAAGGCCCACCAAGGCGACGAUCAGUAGCUAGUCUGAGAGGACGAUCAGCCACACUGGGACUGAGACACGGCCCAGACUCCUACGGGAGGCAGCAGUGGGGAAUUUUGGACAAUGGGGGCAACCCUGAUCCAGCAAUGCCGCGUGUGUGAAGAAGGCCUUCGGGUUGUAAAGCACUUUUGUCCGGAAAGAAAUCGCGCUGGUUAAUACCUGGCGUGGAUGACGGUACCGGAAGAAUAAGCACCGGCUAACUACGUG